UAAAGAUCCGUCGGAUGAGGAUAGGCUCGCGUGACAUUAGCUAGACGGCGGGGUAACGGCCCACCGUGGCGACGAUGUCUAGGGGUUCUGAGAGGAAGGUCCCCCACACUGGAACUGAGACACGGUCCAGACUCCUACGGGAGGCAGCAGUGAGGAAUAUUGGUCAAUGGCCGGAAGGCUGAACCAGCCAUGCCGCGUGAAGGUCAGUGCCCUAUGGGCGUUAAACUUCUUUUGUGCGGGAGCAAUAAGGGCCACGCGUGGCCUGACGAGAGUACCGUACGAAUAAGCAUCGGCUAACUCCGUGCCAGCAGCCGCGGUAAUACGGGGGAUGCAAGCGUUAUCCGGAUUUAUUGGGUUUAAAGGGUGCGUAGGCUGUGAGGUAAGUCAGCGGUGAAAUGCCCCCGCUCAACGGGGGAAGUGCCAUUGAUACUGCCUUGCUGGAAUGCGGAUGCCGUGGGAGGAAUGUGUGGUGUAGCGGUGAAAUGCAUAGAUAUCACACAGAACACCGAUUGCGAAGGCAUCUCACGAAUCCGCGAUUGACGCUGAUGCACGAAAGCGUGGGUAUCAAACAGGAUUAGAUACCCUGGUAGUCCACGCUGUAAACGAUGAUGACUAACCGUCGGCGAUACACAGUCG
Molecule: ribosomal RNA, 636 nt
Filed under: uncultured bacterium
Lineage: Bacteria
Description: bacterial SSU rRNA
Rfam family: Bacterial small subunit ribosomal RNA
Source: RNAcentral